Molecule: unclassified non-coding RNA, 329 nt
Filed under: soil metagenome
Description: partial contains 5.8S ribosomal RNA, internal transcribed spacer 2, and large subunit ribosomal RNA
Rfam family: 5.8S ribosomal RNA (bases 1-120)
Source: RNAcentral
GAUGAAGAACGUAGCGAAAUGCGAUAAGUAAUGUGAAUUGCAGAAUUCAGUGAAUCAUCGAAUCUUUGAACGCACAUUGCGCCCCUUGGUAUUCCGAGGGGCAUGCCUGUUCGAGCGUCAUUAUAACCCCUCAAGCUCAGCUUGGUGUUGGGGCCUGCUGCACUGGCAGCCCUUAAAAUCAGUGGCGGCGCCAUCUGGCUCUAAGCGUAGUAAUUCUUCUCGCUAUGGAGUCCUGGUGGAUGCUUGCCAUCAACCCCCAAUUUUUCUAUGGUUGACCUCGAAUCAGGUAGGGAUACCCGCUGAACUUAAGCAUAUCAAUAAGCGGAGGA